Molecule: non-coding RNA, 202 nt
Organism: Helianthus annuus (common sunflower)
Lineage: Eukaryota; Viridiplantae; Streptophyta; Magnoliopsida; Asterales; Asteraceae
Source: Rfam
ACGACCUUACUUGAACAGGAUCUGUUCUAUAGGCUCGUACCUCUAUAUUCUUGAUUCCUAAGAAGACAGAAACCCAUAUCUGGUUGAUGAGCCGUGACCAUGUAACCAGAGCGUGAUUAACAGAGCUCAUGGUCUUGACCAUGGUUCGGUAGAGGAUUGUCACACCCCAACCGAUGGCGGAAACAUCGGGAUGAGACGAAGU